RNAcentral lists this transfer RNA (71 nucleotides) under Cordylochernes scorpioides. RNAcentral describes it as "tRNA-Gly". It matches the Rfam family "tRNA". Rfam says of the family: Transfer RNA (tRNA) molecules are approximately 80 nucleotides in length. Their secondary structure includes four short double-helical elements and three loops (D, anti-codon, and T loops). Lineage: Eukaryota; Metazoa; Arthropoda; Arachnida; Pseudoscorpiones; Chernetidae. The record is from RNAcentral.
GCAUCGGUGGUUCAGUGGUAGAACGCUCGCCUGCCACGCGGGCGGCCAGGGUUCGAUUCCCGGCCGAUGCA